UACCAGCACCCCGAGUGGUCGGGACGUUUAUUGGGCCUAAAGCAUCCGUAGCCGGUUUUACAAGUCUUCCGUUAAAUCCAGCUGCUUAACAGAUGGGCUGCGGAAGAUACUAUGGAGCUAGGAGGCGGGAGAGGCAAGCGGUACUCGAUGGGUAGGGGUAAAAUCCGUUGAUCCAUUGAAGACCACCAGUGGCGAAGGCGGCUUGCCAGAACGCGCUCGACGGUGAGGGAUGAAAGCCGGGGGAGCAAACCGG
This 253-nucleotide ribosomal RNA is filed under the name uncultured bacterium. RNAcentral describes it as "partial 16S ribosomal RNA". It matches the Rfam family "Archaeal small subunit ribosomal RNA", at positions 474 to 727 of the family's 1478-position model. The record is from RNAcentral.